Molecule: ribosomal RNA, 240 nt
Filed under: uncultured bacterium
Lineage: Bacteria
Description: partial 16S ribosomal RNA
Rfam family: Bacterial small subunit ribosomal RNA
Source: RNAcentral
UGAGCAAUCUGCCCUUCUCUUCGGAAUAAGAGUGGGAAACCGCGUCUAAUGCCGAAUACGACCUCCUUUCGCAUGAUCGGAGGUGGAAAGCUCCGGCGGAGAAGGAUGAGCUCGCGGCCUAUCAGCUAGUUGGUGUGGGUAACGCCCACCAAGGCGACGACGGGUAGCCGGCCUGAGAGGGUGACCGGCCACACGUGGGACUGAGACACGGCCCAGACCUCCGUACGGGGAGCAGCAGGG